GACGAACGCUGGCGGCGUGCUUAACGCAUGCAAGUCGAACGGAAAGGCCCUGCUUGCAGGGUACUCGAGUGGCGAACAGGUGAGUAACACGUGGGUGAUCUGCCCUGCACUUCGGGAUAAGCCUGGGAAACUGGGUCUAAUACCGGAUAGGCGCCAUUUUUAGUGUGAUGGUUGGAAAGUUUUUUCGGUGUAGGAUGAGCUCGCGGCCUAUCAGCUUGUUGGUGGGGUAAUGGCCUACCAAGGCGGCGACGGGUAGCCGGCCUGAGAGGGUGGACGGCCACAUUGGGACUGAGAUACGGCCCAGACUCCUACGGGAGGCAGCAGUGGGGAAUAUUGCACAAUGGGCGCAAGCCUGAUGCAGCGACGCCGCGUGGGGGAUGACGGCCUUCGGGUUGUAAACUCCUUUCGCUAGGGACGAAGCUUUUUGUGACGGUACCUAGAUAAGAAGCACCGGCUAACUACGUG
This 465-nucleotide ribosomal RNA is filed under the name uncultured bacterium. Its description in RNAcentral is "partial 16S ribosomal RNA". It matches the Rfam family "Bacterial small subunit ribosomal RNA", at positions 28 to 507 of the family's 1533-position model. The record is from RNAcentral.